Molecule: transfer RNA, 73 nt
Filed under: SAR324 cluster bacterium
Lineage: Bacteria; Deltaproteobacteria
Description: tRNA-Ala
Rfam family: tRNA
About the family: Transfer RNA (tRNA) molecules are approximately 80 nucleotides in length.
Source: RNAcentral
GGGGACGUAGCUCAGAUGGGAGAGCGCAGCGUUCGCAAUGCUGAGGUCGGGAGGUCGAUCCUCCUCGUCUCCA